CUGCACAGCGCCGGGGUGGGGCGCACCGGCGUCUUCGUCACCCUCAGCAUCGUCCUGGAGCGCAUGCGCUACGAGGGGGCGGUCGACAUGUUCCAGACGGUGAAGACCCUGCGCACGCAGCGGCCCGCCAUGGUGCAGACAGAGGACCAGUACCAGCUGUGCUACAGAGCCGCGCUGGAGUAUCUCGGCAGCUUUGACCACUAUGCAACGUAACUAGCACUUUGCCGGCCGCCGCGGGAGCGCCCGGGGGCAGAGAGGGUCUUGAGCCACGCCGCCAUUCCCAGGCCCGUAGCGACGCUCUCGGCCGACCAGGCCUGACCACUGCUUUCCGGAGCGUCGUCCCUGAGCACGGGCGUCUCGUGUCCUGCCGCUUUCUGCCCCUCGCGCGGCUGCGCUGCUCAGCCAGGCUUGGGGGCUGCAACAGGAUCUUUUUUUAUCUGUACAAUAGUCCCUGGUGUUUUUAUAACCCUCCUCUGUUUGCUGACCUUCCCGUCUGGCUGGGGCUGGGGCCGUCAGGCCUUCGGAGGCCUCCUCUCCGUUUGUCCUCCUCUCGUGCUCCAAUCCGCCCCUGCCUUGGGUGCUGCCCAUUUUAGUGCUCACGGUCCCAGACCCUCUCCGUUCCCCACAGCUGCUUUGAGCCCUCUGUAGCCUAUGAAAGUUCCCGCCGUGGGGCUAAGCUACUGAUUAUCUUUUAGCUGGGUUCUCCUGAUUCCCUGGGCAGGGAUGGGGCUUGGGGCCACGGGAGAGAUGAUCUCAAAGUGCGUUUAGACCAAUUCAGUGCCCAUGAGAUCCCAACACGACAUGACUGGGCCUCGCCUCCUGGGCCCGGACGCCCAAGCCCCGGCCUGUGCCCCACGGGGCGGAGCAGCCAGCGGCAGGCCUGGGAGCAGAAGCAGACAGCGCAGCACGCCCGCUGUGUGCGUGCUGUGGCCUUGUGCAGGCAUCUCGCCCGUGACUGCAUCCCCCGUUUCCAAAGGCAGGAGCACAAUUGGGGGCAGCUCCCGCGGGGGGGGCUAGCUAUUUUGGGGGAAUGGGGCACUUCAGGGAAGGGGCAGCAGGGCGGGGCCGCGUCCCGGAGGUUGGGUGUAGCUAUCAUUUCUGCUCUUCUAAAGUCAUUCGAAUCUUGUACUUUCUGCUACUUCAGGACAUUCGAACGCGCUCGCGAGCAAGUGUCUGAGUGAACCGGAGGGCGCUGUCUCCCACUCCUUGUUCUCACGCGCCCACGGCCUCACCUGGCGGUGGUGGAAGGGGAGCUAACGGUGCAGCCGGUUCCAAGUGCGGCGCUGCCGCAAGCCAGGGUGGGCUCUGGGAAGACACGCUCAUUUUUCCCGUGUGAGUGCGUAGUGCCGUAGGGGUCGCUGGUGUACACAGUCUGUUUUCUAUUUGUUAAUAAAACAAUCGACAGCAUCAUUGCAUACUUCUUGAUGUUAAUAAAUUUGAAUAAUCGGGUUUCAUA
This is a non-coding RNA of Pelodiscus sinensis (Chinese soft-shelled turtle), 1456 nucleotides long. NCBI's taxonomy places the organism in Eukaryota, Metazoa, Chordata, Testudines, Trionychidae. The record is from RefSeq and is a predicted model, not a curated record.